CUUCGGGCUCUGUGCGACGGAUGUUCGCGAACCCCGCCAGGUCCGGAAGGAAGCAACGGUAACGAACCUCUCCGUGUGCCGCAGAUCAACCCGAAGUCU
RNAcentral lists this signal recognition particle RNA (99 nucleotides) under Terriglobia bacterium. Its description in RNAcentral is "signal recognition particle sRNA small type". It matches the Rfam family "Bacterial small signal recognition particle RNA". From Rfam's summary of the family: The signal recognition particle (SRP) is a universally conserved ribonucleoprotein involved in the co-translational targeting of proteins to membranes. Archaeal SRP consists of a 7S RNA and homologues of the eukaryotic SRP19 and SRP54 proteins. Lineage: Bacteria; Pseudomonadati; Acidobacteriota; Terriglobia. The record is from RNAcentral.